Bubalus bubalis (water buffalo) is the source of this 718-nucleotide long non-coding RNA. RefSeq lists it as uncharacterized. The transcript is spliced from 2 exons. The record is from RefSeq and is a predicted model, not a curated record. Lineage: Eukaryota; Metazoa; Chordata; Mammalia; Artiodactyla; Bovidae.
UUGUCUGGCUUUCUUUUUUUUUUUUAAUUAAAUCCCUCGGGGGUUUUGGGGGCUGAGAGGGAAAAAAAUACAUAUCAUAACCUGCGCCGCCCGGGAAUCGAACCCGGGUCGCAAGAAUGGGAAUCUUGCAUGAUACCACUACACCAGCGGCGCGGCUGGCGGUAAGUGUGUCCGCGAGACUUAGGAGAUUGUGACGCAAGCCCCGCCGCCCAGCCCCAGGCGGAGCCGUCAGAGCGCAGGCGUCGCUGCGGCGCGAGCUGCAGGGCUGGAAGCACUGGACUUGAGGGGCGGGGAGCGGGAAGGCGGGGGUCCCGCCUAGUCUCUCGGGCACUCAGCACUCCAGGGGAAGGAGCGGCGAUGAGGGACGCGGUUUCUGGCCGACUGGAUUCGAACUGACGCCGGGGAAACCAUAGCAACCGCGGCAUUCCGGAAAUUGUGGUUCUGCAGGCCAGAAGUCCAGAAUAAAGAUCUCGGCUGCCCAACGGCCCUACCGGAAGCUGUUUCGUCAGCACAGCUUCCUGCUCCUCUCUCUGUGUCUCCAGGCGCUCCCGGGCUUGUGGCCACCUCCCUGCCAUCUCUCCUCUGGGUCUCUCUGUGUCCUAAUAUCCCUCUCCUUUUUAUCUGUAUUUAAAUUUUUUUUUUCUUUUUUAAGUUAUGAAAGUAUGAUAACACAUUUACAGGAUACUUGGAAAAUAUAAAGUUACAUAAAGUUCCACUA